CUGGCGGCGUGCCUAACACAUGCAAGUCGAACGUGAAAAGGGAAACCUGAGUAAAGUGGCGUACGGGUGAGUAACGCGUAGGUAAUCUACCCCAGAAUCUGGAAUAACCUGCCGAAAGGCGGGCUAAUACUGGAUAGAGCGAGGGAACUCGUAAGAGAGUUUUUCGGGAAAGGGAGCCCGCAAGGGCCUUCGUUCUGGGAUGAGCCUGCGUCUCAUUAGCUAGUUGGUAAGGUAACGGCUUACCAAGGCGAUGAUGAGUAGCUGGUCUGAGAGGAUGAUCAGCCACACUGGAACUGAAACACGGUCCAGACUCCUACGGGAGGCAGCAGUGGGGAAUCUUGCGCAAUGGACGAAAGUCUGACGCAGCCACGCCGCGUGAGUGAAGAAGGCCUUCGGGUUGUAAAGCUCUGUCGGAUGGGACGAACAUCUUCAUAGUGAAUAGCUAGGAGGACUGACGGUACCAUCAAAGGAAGCACCGGCUAACUCCGUG
This 490-nucleotide ribosomal RNA is filed under the name uncultured bacterium. RNAcentral describes it as "partial 16S ribosomal RNA". It matches the Rfam family "Bacterial small subunit ribosomal RNA", at positions 36 to 507 of the family's 1533-position model. The record is from RNAcentral.